This 473-nucleotide ribosomal RNA is filed under the name uncultured bacterium. RNAcentral's name for it is "bacterial SSU rRNA". It matches the Rfam family "Bacterial small subunit ribosomal RNA", at positions 28 to 502 of the family's 1533-position model. The record is from RNAcentral.
GAUGAACGCUGGCGGCGUGCUUAACACAUGCAAGUCGAACGGGAAAUAUUUCAUUGAGACUUCGGUGGAUUUGAUCUAUUUCUAGUGGCGGACGGGUGAGUAACGCGUGGGUAACCUGCCUUAUACAGGGGGAUAACAGUCAGAAAUGGCUGCUAAUACCGCAUAAGCGCACAGAGCUGCAUGGCUCAGUGUGAAAAACUCCGGUGGUAUAAGAUGGACCCGCGUUGGAUUAGCUGGUUGGUGGGGUAACGGCCCACCAAGGCGACGAUCCAUAGCCGGCCUGAGAGGGUGAACGGCCACAUUGGGACUGAGACACGGCCCAGACUCCUACGGGAGGCAGCAGUGGGGAAUAUUGCACAAUGGGGGAAACCCUGAUGCAGCGACGCCGCGUGAAGGAAGAAGUAUCUCGGUAUGUAAACUUCUAUCAGCAGGGAAGAUAGUGACGGUACCUGACUAAGAAGCCCCGGCUAACU